UACGAAGGGGGCUAGCGUUGUUCGGAUUUACUGGGCGUAAAGCGCACGUAGGCGGAUAUUUAAGUCAGGGGUGAAAUCCCAGAGCUCAACUCUGGAACUGCCUUUGAUACUGGGUAUCUUGAGUAUGGAAGAGGUAAGUGGAAUUGCGAGUGUAGAGGUGAAAUUCGUAGAUAUUCGCAAGAACACCAGUGGCGAAGGCGGCCAACUGGACCAAUACUGACGCUGAGGCGCGAAAGCGUGGGGAGCAAACAGG
Molecule: ribosomal RNA, 253 nt
Filed under: uncultured bacterium
Lineage: Bacteria
Description: partial 16S ribosomal RNA
Rfam family: Bacterial small subunit ribosomal RNA
Source: RNAcentral